GACGAACGCUGGCGGCGUGCUUAACACAUGCAAGUCGAACGGUAAGGCCCUUCGGGGUACACGAGUGGCGAACGGGUGAGUAACACGUGGGUGAUCUGCCCUGCACUUCGGGAUAAGCCUGGGAAACUGGGUCUAAUACCGGAUAGGACCCUGGGAUGCAUGUCCUGGGGUGGAAAGCUUUUGCGGUGUGGGAUGGGCCCGCGGCCUAUCAGCCUGUUGGUGGGGUGAUGGCCUACCAAGGCGACGACGGGUAGCCGGCCUGGGAGGGUGACCGGCCACACUGGGACUGAGAUACGGCCCAGACUCCUACGGGAGGCAGCAGUGGGGAAUAUUGCACAAUGGGCGCAAGCCUGAUGCAGCGACGCCGCGUGAGGGAUGACGGCCUUCGGGUUGUAAACCUCUUUCAGCACCGACGAAGCGCAAGUGACGGUAGGUGCAGAAGAAGGACCGGCCAACUACGUGCCAGCAGCCGCCGUAA
This 478-nucleotide ribosomal RNA is filed under the name uncultured bacterium. RNAcentral describes it as "partial 16S ribosomal RNA". It matches the Rfam family "Bacterial small subunit ribosomal RNA", at positions 28 to 523 of the family's 1533-position model. The record is from RNAcentral.